AGGACGAACGCUGGCGGCGUGCUUCACACAUGCAAGUCGAACGGGGCCCAUCCGGUGGCAACACCGGUGAAGGCUUAGUGGCGAACGGGUGAGUAACACGUGAGGAACCUGCCCCGAAGACCGGGAUAACAGCGGGAAACCGCUGCUAAUACCGGAUACCCCCAGCUGGCCACAUGGCUGGCUGAGGAAAUAGAUUCCGCCUCGGGAGGGCCUCGCGGCCUAUCAGCUAGUUGGUGAGGUAAAGGCCCACCAAGGCGACGACGGGUAGCUGGUCUGAGAGGACGAUCAGCCACACUGGGACUGAGACACGGCCCAGACUCCUACGGGAGGCAGC
RNAcentral lists this ribosomal RNA (334 nucleotides) under uncultured prokaryote. RNAcentral describes it as "bacterial SSU rRNA". It matches the Rfam family "Bacterial small subunit ribosomal RNA", at positions 26 to 352 of the family's 1533-position model. The record is from RNAcentral.